This 2457-nucleotide long non-coding RNA is filed under the name Sus scrofa (pig). RNAcentral describes it as "lncRNA (ENSSSCG00055016390.1)". The record is from RNAcentral. Lineage: Eukaryota; Metazoa; Chordata; Mammalia; Artiodactyla; Suidae.
CUAUUUCUUGGGCCGCUCCGGCGGCAUAUGGAGGUUCCCAGGCUAGGGGUCCAAUCAGAGCUGUAGCCACCGGCCUACGCCAGAGCCACAGCAAUGCGGGAUCCGAGCCGCGUCUGCGACCUACACCACAGCUCAGGGCAACGCCAGAUCCUUAACCCGCUGAGCAAGAGCAGGGACCGAACCCGCAACCUCAUGGUUCCUAGUUGGAUUCGUUAACCACUGCGCCACGACGGGAGCACUUCACUUGUGUCCACAGCAGCCCUCUGAUGACUGUUCCUGCCCCCACCCAACGGUGGCAGACAAGGCUCAGCGAGAGUAGGAGCCUUCCGCUGGGCCGCCCAGCGAGGGGGAGAGCGCUCCAAACCAGAUGUGUUGCUGGGUGGCAGAGCUGCGCUGGGAGCCACCAUCCAGGCAGGCAGGCUCCUCGGCCUCCACCGAUGCCCUUUGGGUUGAAAAGCCUUGAAAUGAACUUGAGUGAGACCCUUUGUUUUCUCAGGGAGCUAAGUUUCCUAGACAGCUCAUGCGAAAGCGUCUCAACUUUUAAAAGUAUCUUACCCACUCUGGAAGAAACCUCCCAUCUGUUAUGAGACACGCCUCCUGGCUUUGCUCUGUGUUAAACAGGCUUGGUUUUUUUCUCCACGGUUUAAGGGACAUUAACUGGAGGAAGGGGCAGUGACAGCCUCACUCCAGCUGUGUUUGUGCCACCCUGAGGGGAGGCGGGAAGUUUGGGGAACAAGAGUCACUGGUGGGAACAGGUGUUCAGGCCAAAGAAUCCCAAAGAGGCUGGCGCUGCUGCCGGGGGAGCGAACGGAAGCAGAUGGACAGAGGCCAGGUCAUCCGCGGGGGUUAGAACUCAUUAGAUCAAAGCUAAGAAUGAGGGCGAGCGGGAGCCGGGUCAGCAUCUGGAAUCCCUCCCAGCAGGGGUGACGGGGGCGGGCGUGGGGCCAGCUGUGCCCUUUUAUCUGGACGAUUCCAAGUGUCGGUCCUCCCCCAGGCCCACCCGCCCAGACGGGACCAGGAGGCUCAGGAUGAAAGGGGCUCCCAGGGCAGGUGGGCGGCUGCACCUUCCUUUGGCCCCUCCCCUGGCCUCUCCUCAUCGGUCCACAUGGGAUGGCCAGCCUCCUCCUGGGGACAGGCGUCUCUCUGUGACAGGUGACACUCGGCGGGGGGCCAGUCUGGAGACAAACCCGGGCUCCCCCAGUUACGAGGUGGUGUGAUCUUAAGCAAGUCACCAACCCUUGGUUUCCUCAUCCGUCAAAUGGGAAGAAGGAGAACAGACCCUUGCAGGACUGGUGGCGGGGUGGCAUUCUCAGGGCAGCUCUGCCUCAGGGUGAGCUGGUGCCGUUACUAGCCGACAGCGCUCCCCUCUUCCAGCCUCAGCUUGGCCUCCUAACAGUUGAUCCUUUUGUCUUUCCAGGGUCUCACUUCCUGUCAACCAAACAGAACCGGGGGUACAGGCUCCUUCUGCCCCGGGGGGCACCUGGGAGAGCAGGCCUGGGCGGCUCUGCUGCCCAUCCCCCACGGCCCCUCCCAGCUUCUGCUUGGCAUCCGUCCUGCCCCUUUUUACAUCCAUGGAUGACACACCUGCAUUCCUGGAGUGCUGGGAGGGGGGGACAUUCUGGUUUUCCAGGUCCCCAGGGGGCAGGACUCCAGCGUGGGUGGGGGAGGGGGUGCGGGUGAAGCUGCCUCGGGAAGCACUGUGCUGAGUGUCCACAGUCAUUGUACACACCUCCCAGAGCCACUGUCCCCUCACCCGUCCUUCACGAACUCCCAGCACGUGCUGCGGCCAACAGGUGCUGCCCAGCCCGGCCCACAGGGAUGGAGCCCUCCCCACCCACCAAGGCACUGGACCAGACCCGGAGGUAAGAGAAACCGCCACGUGACACCGACACUCCAAAGGGGGUAGUGAGACACAGGCAGGCCUGUCUGGUAUCAUGUGGAAGGUUCUAGACAGGCUUGUGGGACCUCCACUUGUCUUUUUUUUUUUUUUUCUCCGUUUCCUUUUUUUUGGCUUUUUAGGGCCACACACAUGGCAUACGGAGGUUCCCAGGCUAGGGGUCGAAUCGGAGCUGUAGCCACCUGCCUACACCACAGCCACAGCAAUGCCAGAUCCGAGCCUGGUCUGCGACCUACACCACAGCUCACAGCAACGCCGGAUCUUUAACCCAAGGAGCGAGGACAGGGAUCGAACCCACGUCCUCAUGGACACGAGUCGGGUUCGUUAGCACAGAGCCAAGAUGGGAACUCCCUCCACUUGUCUUCAGCUGUGACUGGGAGGCUGGGCGCGAGGGCACCUCUGUGUAGACAACACAGAGACUGGAGUCAGCUUGGGGCUGUGAUUCCAACACCCACCCACAGGGCACUCCUGGACCCCCAGCAAGCACUUAAUAAAAUCUGUUGAUUGCAGACACCAGCAACCUGUGGGUCCAGCCCCCCCACCUCCAAGCCACCCCAGUC